RNAcentral lists this ribosomal RNA (614 nucleotides) under uncultured bacterium. RNAcentral describes it as "bacterial SSU rRNA". The stretch from base 1 to 531 matches the Rfam family "Bacterial small subunit ribosomal RNA", at positions 338 to 873 of the family's 1533-position model. The record is from RNAcentral.
CCUACGGGAGGCAGCAGUGGGGAAUCUUGCGCAAUGGCCGAGAGGCUGACGCAGCGACGCCGCGUGGGGGAUGAAGCAUUUCGGUGUGUAAACCCCUGUUGCUCGGGACGAACGACCCUUUUCGAGGGGUGUGACGGUACCGAGUGAGGAAGCACCGGCUAACUCCGUGCCAGCAGCCGCGGUAAUACGGAGGGUGCAAGCGUUGUCCGGAAUCACUGGGCGUAAAGGGCGCGUAGGUGGUUAGAUGCGCCGGUGGUGAAAGCGCAGGGCUCAACCCUGCGUCGGCCAUCGGGACGGUCUGACUGGAGCACUGUAGAGGCAGGUGGAAUUCCGGGUGUAGCGGUGGAAUGCGUAGAGAUCCGGAAGAACACCGGUGGCGGAGGCGGCCUGCUGGGCAGUUGCUGACACUGAGGCGCGACAGCGUGGGGAGCAAACAGGAUUAGAUACCCUGGUAGUCCACGCCGUAAACGAUGGGCACUAGGUGCUUGGGGGAGCGACCCCCUGNGUGCGCGCGUACGCAUAGUGCCCGCCGUCGGGAGGUACGACCGCGAGGUAGAACGACGAAGAGUAGUAGACGCGNGACGACGCGACGACGACGACGACGGAGGAGGAGG